Cotesia glomerata is the source of this 726-nucleotide long non-coding RNA. RefSeq lists it as uncharacterized. NCBI's taxonomy places the organism in Eukaryota, Metazoa, Arthropoda, Insecta, Hymenoptera, Braconidae. The transcript has 4 exons. The record is from RefSeq and is a predicted model, not a curated record.
CAAGGCAAUGAUAAGACACUAAAACUGGCUUGGGCUUUAUCUCUUCUUCCUCCGCAACUUUUUCACGAAGCUAUUGGAAUUAUUGUUGAGUCAGCGGAACGUAUUGAAGCAGAGCAUCCAAAUGUUUCACUGUUUAUUUAUUAUUUGUAUAACCAGUGGCUACCUCUUGCAGACAUCGUUUCUGUGUGAAACUCCCCAUGGCGUACCAAUAACUUCGCAGAAUCUUUCAACCGCCAUUUGGUAGCUAGAUUGAGUGGCGAGUAUCCAUCACUAUUCACGUUUUUGAACAAUUAGAAAAGUGAUUCAUGAUACACAUAUACAAUGGCAUCGAUUGAAUGAAGGAAUGGACUUGAAUCGCCAUCGUCGGACAGUCCAACGCAACGAAGAUUAUCGUAUCUAUCAUCUUCAGGCGUCUUUGGCGUCCGGAAGAUUUAACUUGCCAGAAUUUUUACAUGCUGCAGUCAACAGACAGAUACACGAAACAAUGCUGAUGAUUAUUGACAGAGAUCAACGGGAACAACGAUUACAGAACGUUGGAAAUAUAUCAAACAUCGGUUUGUAGGAUCCUGAUGGCAGUCGUAAUUUGUUACGUCCUGGGACGAUACAAAUGUAAUCAACUGCUUGUUUUACGGUCAGACAACUAAAUGCCUUUACCCUGGGAGUGGCAGUCACACUUAUUGACAGAUCUCUUUGAUUUAGAAACUUAUUGACUAAUUAACACUAAGG